UUUACCCGACCCGACGCCGGCGUGAUGUGGCUUCCGCUGGUGCUGCUCCUGGCUGUGCUGCUGCUGGCCGUCCUCUGCAAAGUUUACUUGGGACUAUUCUCUGGCACCUCCCCGAAUCCUUUCUCCGAAGAUGUCAAACGGCCCCCAGCGCCCCUGGUAACUGACAAGGAGGCCAGGAAGAAGGUUCUCAAACAAGCUUUUUCAGCCAACCAAGUGCCGGAGAAGCUGGAUGUGGUGGUAAUUGGCAGUGGCUUUGGGGGCCUGGCUGCAGCUGCAAUUCUAGCUAAAGCUGGCAAGCGAGUCCUGGUGCUGGAACAACAUACCAAGGCAGGGGGCUGCUGUCAUACCUUUGGAAAGAAUGGCCUUGAAUUUGACACAGGUAAGACUUGUGUGGAAAAGGGUUGGGAGCAUGGCUGUAUGUUGAAGAGGCUUGGAGCAGCCCUUGUGGGGUGAUACUGAGCAUUUCUGUUGUUUUGGAAGUGCCAUCUUCUCUCUGGGUACUUUUUUUCUUUGUUUGUUUCAGACAGAGUCUCACUUCAUCACCCAGGCUGGAGCGCAGUGGUGUGAUCCCAGCUUACUGUAACGUCUACCUCCUGAGUUCGUGAUUCUCAUGCCUCAGUCUCCCGAGUGGCUGGGAUUACACUCAGUAAUCCCACCAAG
This 660-nucleotide small RNA is filed under the name Pan troglodytes (chimpanzee). RNAcentral's name for it is "retained intron". The record is from RNAcentral. Lineage: Eukaryota; Metazoa; Chordata; Mammalia; Primates; Hominidae.